Molecule: ribosomal RNA, 484 nt
Filed under: uncultured bacterium
Lineage: Bacteria
Description: partial 16S ribosomal RNA
Rfam family: Bacterial small subunit ribosomal RNA
Source: RNAcentral
AUUGAACGCUGGCGGCAGGCCUAACACAUGCAAGUCGAGCGGAUGAAGGGAGCUUGCUCCUGGAUUCAGCGGCGGACGGGUGAGUAAUGCCUAGGAAUCUGCCUGGUAGUGGGGGAUAACGUCCGGAAACGGGCGCUAAUACCGCUUACGUCCUGAGGGAGAAAGUGGGGGAUCUUCGGACCUCACGCUAUCAGAUGAGCCUAGGUCGGAUUAGCUAGUUGGUGGGGUAAAGGCCUACCAAGGCGACGAUCCGUAACUGGUCUGAGAGGAUGAUCAGUCACACUGGAACUGAGACACGGUCCAGACUCCUACGGGAGGCAGCAGUGGGGAAUAUUGGACAAUGGGCGAAAGCCUGAUCCAGCCAUGCCGCGUGUGUGAAGAAGGUCUUCGGAUUGUAAAGCACUUUAAGUUGGGAGGAAGGGCAGUAAGUUAAUACCUUGCUGUUUUGACGUUACCAACAGAAUAAGCACCGGCUAACUUCGUG